UACGAGAGGCCCAAACGUUAUUCGGAAUUACUGGGCUUAAAGAGUUCGUAGGCGGCAUUGCAAGUAGGGUGUGAAAGCCCUCGGCUCAACCGAGGAAUUGCGCUCUAAACUGCAGUGCUUGAGGAACCUAGAGGUGAGCAGAACAGAUGGUGGAGCGGUGAAAUGCGUUGAUAUCAUCUGGAAUACCGGAGGCGAAGGCGGCUCACUGGGGGUUUUCUGACGCUGAGGAACGAAAGCCAGGGUAGCGAACGGG
RNAcentral lists this ribosomal RNA (253 nucleotides) under uncultured bacterium. RNAcentral describes it as "partial 16S ribosomal RNA". It matches the Rfam family "Bacterial small subunit ribosomal RNA", at positions 524 to 776 of the family's 1533-position model. The record is from RNAcentral.